GCGGAAGCUGCAGGCAUUUCGUUUGCACGUGCAAGAUUGACAAGUGACGCAGUCCCAACUCUGUUCCCGAGAGGAACCGGCAUGCUGUUUGGCGGCCACCCCACGAGAGGACUCCAAUGUGCCACUCCAUGCAGAGAAGAAAUACGUCAUCUUUGAGAGUUGCCUCCUCCAGCUGCUCCAGGAAUGCAAAACAUGUCACACACCAGCCAAAACCACGCUGUCUUCAGAGGGAAGCUUUCUGACUGCCAGUUCUGUUUGCUCAAAUGGGCACCAGCAUACAUGGACCAGCCAAUGAUCAAUGGGAAGGCAGCAGGAAACCUCCUAUACUGUCGGCUGCCAUUCUGUUUUCCGGAGCUAGUCCUGCGAAAGUUCUCAGGCUGCUCCGCUUCAUGGCUGUACAGGUCAUGUGUAACUGAACAUAUUUUAAUUACCAGAGAGGUUUUCUGGUACCUGCUAUAGAAAAGGUAAGAUCACAC
Molecule: long non-coding RNA, 476 nt
Organism: Ornithodoros turicata
Lineage: Eukaryota; Metazoa; Arthropoda; Arachnida; Ixodida; Argasidae
Exons: 3
Source: RefSeq, a predicted model, not a curated record